Long non-coding RNA from Vespa velutina, 1283 nucleotides. RefSeq lists it as uncharacterized. NCBI's taxonomy places the organism in Eukaryota, Metazoa, Arthropoda, Insecta, Hymenoptera, Vespidae. The transcript is spliced from 2 exons. The record is from RefSeq and is a predicted model, not a curated record.
UAUUAUUAAUAUUAUUAUUAUUAUUAUUAUUAUUAUUAUUAUUAUUAUUAUUAUUAUUAUUAUUAUUAUUAUUAUUAUUAUUAUUAUCGUGAUGAUGAUUAGUACUAUAAAAUAUUGUUACUACGAUCGUUAAUCUAAUUGAAACAAAGUACGUAAACUUUAAGAAAAUUUCCGAUGCAAAAUGGCGUAUAUACAUACAUACAUACAUACAUACAUACAUACAUAUCAUACAUACACACAUACAUACAACCCACAUACAUACAUACAUACAUACAUACAUACGCACGUACAUACAUACAUGUAAAGCUAGUAUACAUAUUUUCUAUAUACAUAUAUGUAUAGAUAUACAAAUAUGUAUAAUAAAUAUGUAUAUUAACGUUAUACUGUAACCUCUGUAAUACACACUUUAAUAUAUUGUGAUUGUCAUAUUGUCCCUCUCUGCGUUCACGAUAAAAAGAGUGUGAUGAGACGACGAAGACGGCGUUUAAAAAAAAAAAAAAAAAGAAAAAGAAAAGAAAAAAAAAUACAAGAAACAAAAAAACCUGGAACAAGAUUGCAACGAAAACUCAUCUUCGGUUUCGUUCAAGAGCUCUAUUAUUAAUAAUAAUAAUAAUAAUAAACGCAGCGUUAACUCGAAACCCCGAACACGCCUUUUGUCAAUUCUUUCUUAUAUUACCGACGGAUAUCUCUAAUAAUUUCGUAAAGAAAUAUAAGAAAAUAAAACGAAAACUAACGAGACAUCAAAGAAAAAAAAAAAAAAAAAAAGAAAAAAGAAAUGUAAAGAAAAGAAGAAAAUAAAAUACAGAAGAAAAAAAAGAAACAGAUGACGAUGAUGAUGAUGAUAAAAAUGAACAUGAUAAAAGUAAGGAUGAAUAAGUAACGCAAGAAAACAAAAUUAAACAAAUGGAAAAGAGAAAGAGAAAGAAAGAAAGAAAGAAAGAUAUUAAUACAAAAUUGCGAUAAGGAACGUAGAUAUAUAUAUACAUAUUUUUUUUUUCUCUCUUUUAAAAACCAUAAGAAUAGUCAUUUUUCAAAUGAACGACGUCUAUUCAUGAGAACAAAAUAGAAAAAAAGAGAGAGAGAGAGAGAGACAGAGAAACGAUUUUUAUUAUCUAAUCGUAGAUCCUAAAUAAUGCGCAACAACGUUUAUUUGAAAAUCAAAAAGGAAUAAAAGAAAGAAAGAAAGAAAGAAAAAAAAUUUGAGCAAAAGUAAGAAAGAGAACGUGAACGAGGAAGAAUGUAUCUAAUUGAAGAGAAAGUAAAUAAAUAAUGAUGAAUGAUAA